RNAcentral lists this ribosomal RNA (489 nucleotides) under uncultured bacterium. RNAcentral describes it as "partial 16S ribosomal RNA". It matches the Rfam family "Bacterial small subunit ribosomal RNA", at positions 28 to 507 of the family's 1533-position model. The record is from RNAcentral.
GACGAACGCUGGCGGCGUGCUUAACACAUGCAAGUCGAACGGUGAAGGGACCAGCUUGCUGGUUCUGGAUGAGUGGCGAACGGGUGAGUAACACGUGAGUAACCUGCCCCCUUCUUCUGGAUAACCGCAUGAAAGUGUGGCUAAUACGGGAUAUUCUGGGUCUGUCGCAUGGCGGGCCCGGGAAAGAUAUUGCUUCGGUGGGGGAUGGGCUCGCGGCCUAUCAGCUUGUUGGUGGGGUGAUGGCCUACCAAGGCGGUGACGGGUAGCCGGCCUGAGAGGGUGGACGGUCACACUGGGAAUGAGACACGGCCCAGACUGCUACGGGAGGCAGCAGUGGGGAAUAUUGCACAAUGGGCGCAAGCCUGAUGCAGCGACGCCGCGUGAGGGAUGGAGGCCUUCGGGUUGUAAACCUCUUUCGCCAGUGAAGCAGGCCUGCUCCUUGUGGGUGGGUUGACGGUAGCUGGAUAAGAAGCGCCGGCUAACUACGUG